GGAGGCAUUUCAUCAAACAGCUAUUGGGUGAUGUCAAUAUUUUCCCUCCCCCAAUGAACUCGUAGCUUAGUUGUAGAAUGAAAUUUGGCUAAUUAUUCAGAAGGGAGGAGUGGAAGGCCACGCAGAUCUAGUAACAGUACCUUUUUUUAGAUAAUGGAUAUAAAAUAUCCGGCCUAUACAUUCGAGGAUGUACACAGCCAAUUAUUACAAAGUUUUGAAAAAAGGAAAGGGCAAACACUAAAACAAAAAACCAUGGUACUAAAGCAAACAAAAAAAUGUUUCCAUCCUCUAUUAGAAAACUCUAAAGCAAUCGUCUCUAAAUUCUUGCUUAGCAUCGAGAGGAUGUCUUUAGUUUGCUCAUCAUGCUGCAGCGGGGCCCAGAAGCGAAGCCAGUAUGCUCCCCUGAAAAUAACCUGCAUAACAAAGUUAUUUUUGAGUUUGUUAAAAAUAACAUCAUUUCGACAUCUCCAAAUUGCCUAGCAUAUAGCAGCCACUCCGACCC
Molecule: long non-coding RNA, 502 nt
Filed under: Sorghum bicolor (sorghum)
Lineage: Eukaryota; Viridiplantae; Streptophyta; Magnoliopsida; Poales; Poaceae
Description: long non-coding RNA (SBIC_LNC009346)
Source: RNAcentral